CCUAUAGUAGUUUUCCAUCAUCACAUCUCUAUAAGGGCUCCUUUGAUCAGGUGCCAGAAAAUCCUACUCCUUCUAAGUAAAUUUCACAGCCACAGCUUCAAAGGCCAUUAACUCCAUUUCCUGGAUCAAGAUUCUGAGGCUUUCUUUGGGCAUCAGCCAUACCGUCCAAGAGGGAAGAGGGAAAAAGGUGGAACUGCAGCCACAUGGAGCAAUCUGGAAUCAAAUGGGAGAAGUUUGUGCCAUGCAGGCUGGUGGAACAACUGGGAUUUUACUUUACAAUGGGUUAUGGCUGAGACACUUCUAACACAAGACAGAUUAACAAGAGAGAAGCAUACGUAUUCAUGUAAUAUAAGUUUUAUGUGACAUGGAGGACUUCACGAGGAAAGAAAGACUCCAAGAAACAGAAGUGUUUUGGAAAAACAUUGCAAAUAGAGUAAACAGUUAAGUGUGAUGGAGACAUUUGGAAAGUGAAGAAUCUUGGAAUUGAGGGAGGGAAUAUGCGGAUCACGAUUAGACAAAGCCAAAGGUCCUCCUAUCUUGAUGAUCCCAGUGGAAGCCCAGAAGCUUAGACCUCUCUUUUUGACUUCCAUGUGAGUGAUCUAAUCCAGAUGGAAAUUUUUUCAUAGACACUGUAAAGCACUCCAUAUGUGAAGCAAACAAAAGAAAGUGAUAGAUAAUGAACUAUAUGAAAGCUGAAUUACCCAUUAAGAGGUUAUGCUGAGGUCUGAUAAUGAAUUAACUUAACAUAGUGUGAAUGCUGCAGAUAAUACUAAACAAACAAACAACAUCUUUCUUCCUCUGCUUGCCUUUUUGAGGGUCACUGAAAUUAUGAAUGUCUUUACCAGUUGGCGAGAGAUAUAACUUUUUAUUUAUUAUUUCAGUUGAAUAAUACCUUUAGUUGUUCUUUGUAACCCCUUCUUUGUGUGUUAUAUAGCCUCUUGGCGGCAAUCCAACCAUGGACAAUUUUUUUUUAACAUUUUGAACUGCAGUGUCUUCAUUUUUAGUAGAGGACAGUGUGCUUACUUCAAGUAUUAUUGAAGAAGAUAAAUGAUAAAACCUAUAAAUGGAUUAGCAGAUUGCAUGGUGUGUAACAUGCUCUACGUGAUAGGAGCCAAUGGUGUUACCAUGCUUUGCAUUAUCAUCACCUUAGUACCAAAAAGUAAGAUAGAGAUGAAGUUACCCAAAAGCAAAGGAAGAGGAUCCCUCUUUCUCCAAGGUGAUAGAGUACAUCUAGAAACUUUGAACAUCAAUCACAUCAAUAUUAGACUUAAAAAGACUUAAAUACAGGAGUAUCCAACAGAAGAGCCAAAAUUAAGAAGAAUGACAAUACCAAGUGUUGGUGAGGCUGUUGAGCACCUGGAACUUUCAUCUGUUGACAUGAGACUGUAAAAUUGUACAACCACUUUGGAAAAUGAGCUGACAACUUCUUAUAAAAUUAAAUUUGCAUCUAUGCUGUGACCAAACAAGGCCAGCUAUAGGUAUUUACUCAAAGGAAAUAACUGUGUAUAUAAAAUGUGUAUAUAAAAUAUGUUACAAAAAUGUCCAGAGCAAACUUAUCAACAGACAACACUGGAAAGAGCCUAGAUAUUCAUCAAUAGAUAGAUAGAUAGAUAAACUGUGGCAUAGAGUUACUUCUACAUAACAAUAAAAAGGGACAAACUACUAUAUGCUUGAUGAAUCCCAAAAAUGUUUUGCCCAGUUGAAGAAGCCCUAUUCAAAUGAGACUCAUAUCAUAUGACAUUUUAUAAUAGGGGCCAAGCAGGAUGACUGAAAGGGGGUGUGAGGAUCUUUCUCAGGUGGUGAUAACUUUAAGAGGUGGUGUUACACAGAUACAUGCAUUUCAAAUUCUCCACAAAUGUGCACUUAAGAUAUGUGCAUUUUAUUAUAUGUAUUUCAUAUCAAAUAAAACUACAAAUAUUGAACUCAAAUUAAACACAGGUUAAGUUGUUAAGAAGAUAUGAUAUCAGCAAUUUAUUUUGAAAUGCAUCUAAAAUAUGAUGAAUUAACAAUGAACAGAGGAUUAGAAAUGAAAUAGAGUAAAUACAAAUAGUAAGGGCUGGGGAUUUAGCUCAGUGGUUUUGCCACCUGCUGCUCAAGGGCAAGGACCUGAGUUCGAUUCCCAGUACCCCCCCCCAAAAAAAAUAUACACAAAUGGUAAAACUAGGUAGUAGGUAAAAAUUCUUUUCAUGUUCUAUAUUUGUUAAUUUUUAUAAAAUGUUGAGAAAAUGUAGUGGCAAAAUUUCUUUACUGCCUGAAGGAAUAAUUCUUUUUUCUGUUAGUUUUAUUAGUACAUGUUUAUAAUACAUAAUAAUACAUUUAAUUCUCUUUUUCUUUUUUUAUUCCCUACCUUUUCCUCCCUCCCUGCUCCUUCCAACUCUUGGUCCACUUCCCAUUUGCAAAAACUCUGUUUUCAUCAUUUUUCCUCUUCAAUCCUUUUUUCCCAUCCCCUUUCCUUCUCCUCCCUUCCUCCUUCCUCUCUCCAUCUCUUGUUCCCCUAUUCAUUUGAAAAAAGGGGUACAUUCAUACCCACGUUUGUAGCAGUACAGUUUGUAAUAGCUAAAUCUUGGAAUCAGCCUAUAUGCCCAUCAACAGAUAGAUGGAUAAAAAUGUGAUAUUUACACACCACGGAGUACUACUCUGACAUAAAGAAAGAUAAACUUGAGGCAUUUGUAGGUAAAUGGGUGCAACCUGAGACCAUAAUAUUAAGUGAAAUAAGUCAGAGACACAAGCUUAAAUAUCACAUGGCUUUUCUUAUAUGAGAAUCUCUCAAUAGGUAGAUAGAUAGAUAGACAAAGAGCAAGUAGGGAGAUGCUUUUCAAGUAGAGAAGUAAUUUUUAAUGUUCCUUUCCAAUAGUAGUCUUGCUCUAUUAAAAUAAAUUACUUAUAAAGUAUAUAAAAAAGAAUGUACAGUGGUUCUGAGUAAGUAGAGAUAAUAAAAGAUAUCUCAAUAAAAGACAGAACUAGUUAAAGAUGAGUUCCCUUUCCCUGCUUUUUCUCUCUCCUCACUUUUCUACUCACCUGGCAGUGCCCACUAACUUAUGCCUACUAUUAAAAAAAAAGGCAGGUCCUGCCCAUUUGCAUCUGAGUUGGAAGCAAGACCAUCUCAUUUAAGAAGAGGGCAGGGAAUGUAAGACAGAUGGCUGAAAAUGGUACCUGGUACCGAUGUGCCUCUGCCAAGACCAAGAUUGUGUGAAAUGAGCAUGGCAAUAGAUCUGUGCCUUUCCUAUAAAGAUGGAAAGCCCUGUGUUGCUAACUUAAUAUAGUAAAUAUGGAGAAAACAAAAGUGCUUGUUUUCCACUGGGCUGGGAAUAAGAGCAGCACUGGAUAUGAAAAAUGGAAUUUUCGAGGAUUUAGCUCAGUGGUUCCGGCUCCUGCCUUGCAAGGGAAAGGUCCCAAGUUUGAUCCCCGGUACCAAAAAAAAAAAAAAAGGAAUUUUCCUUUUGUCGGCAGAAUAUGGUUAUCUACUUUUCCACAUUAGGAGUAGUUGGCAUCAUUUUUUAUAGGGUCUGGGCCCAUAUACACUAGCUGUGUGUUGACUUCGAUACUUUUUCUUGAAUAAAAUUCAUAGCAAAGUAAAAAGUGUACAUUAUCAUAAAAAAUAAAUAAGAUGUCAAGAAAAGCUUUAUCAAAGCAAUAUAAUUCCUUCUUUUAGAAAUGUCACAGGAUUUUACAUUUUAUAGAUGAGCAUGUGAUCUGUUUACUUUGGCACAAAGGAAAGGAAAUUUAAGCAAAAAUCAAAGGAAAUGACCUUAUCAAGGCUGUGACUCCAUAAUAACAAAUGGGCUGACAACAUUUGAUUUUAAUGAACACAUGAGUGAAAGUAAUUAUGCAUAAUUGUUAAUUUUGCCUUAUAUAAUUUUAG
RNAcentral lists this long non-coding RNA (3862 nucleotides) under Heterocephalus glaber (naked mole-rat). RNAcentral's name for it is "lncRNA (ENSHGLG00100050195.1)". The record is from RNAcentral. Lineage: Eukaryota; Metazoa; Chordata; Mammalia; Rodentia; Bathyergidae.